This 464-nucleotide ribosomal RNA is filed under the name uncultured bacterium. Its description in RNAcentral is "bacterial SSU rRNA". It matches the Rfam family "Bacterial small subunit ribosomal RNA", at positions 30 to 491 of the family's 1533-position model. The record is from RNAcentral.
AUUGAACGCUGGCGGCAUGCCUUACACAUGCAAGUCGAACGGCAGCACGGGAGCAAUCCUGGUGGCGAGUGGCGAACGGGUGAGUAAUAUAUCGGAACGUGCCCAGUCGUGGGGAUAACGUAGCGAAAGCUACGCUAAUACCGCAUACGAUCUAUGGAUGAAAGCGGGGGAUCGCAAGACCUCGCGCGAUUGGAGCGGCCGAUAUCAGAUUAGGUAGUUGGUGAGGUAAAGGCUCACCAAGCCGACGAUCUGUAGCUGGUCUGAGAGGACGACCAGCCACACUGGGACUGAGACACGGCCCAGACUCCUACGGGAGGCAGCAGUGGGGGAAUUUUUGGGACAAUGGGCGCAAGCCUGAUCCAGCAAUGCCGCGUGCAGGAUGACGGUCCUAUGGAUUGUAAACUGCUUUGUACAGGAAGAAACACUACUUCGUGAAGUAGCUUGACGGUACUGUAAGAAUAAGG